GAGUGGCGAACGGGUGAGUAAUACAUCGGAACGUGCCCGAUCGUGGGGGAUAACGCAGCGAAAGCUGUGCUAAUACCGCAUACGAUCUACGGAUGAAAGCAGGGGAUCGCAAGACCUUGCGCGGACGGAGCGGCCGAUGGCAGAUUAGGUAGUUGGUGGGGUAAAGGCUCACCAAGCCGACGAUCUGUAGCUGGUCUGAGAGGACGACCAGCCACACUGGGACUGAGACACGGCCCAGACUCCUACGGGAGGCAGCAGUGGGGAAUUUUGGACAAUGGGCGCAAGCCUGAUCCAGCCAUGCCGCGUGCAGGAUGAAGGCCUUCGGGUUGUAAACUGCUUUUGUACGGAACGAAAAGGUCUUCUCUAAUAAAGAGGGCUCAUGACGGUACCGUAAGAAUAAGCACCGGCUAACUACGUGCCAGCAGCCGCGGUAAUACGUAGGGUGCAAGCGUUAAUCGGAAUUACUGGGCGUAAAGCGUGCGCAGGCGGUGAUGUAAGACAGAUGUGAAAUCCCCGGGCUCAACCUGGGAACUGCAUUUGUGACUGCAUCGCUGGAGUGCGGCAGAGGGGGAUGGAAUUCCGCGUGUAGCAGUGAAAUGCGUAGAUAUGCGGAGGAACACCGAUGGCGAAGGCAAUCCCCUGGGCCUGCACUGACGCUCAUGCACGAAAGCGUGGGGAGCAAACAGGAUUAGAUACCCUGGUAGUCCACGCCCUAAACGAUGUCAACUGGUUGUUGGGUCUUCACUGACUCAGUAACGAAGCUAACGCGU
This 770-nucleotide ribosomal RNA is filed under the name uncultured bacterium. Its description in RNAcentral is "bacterial SSU rRNA". It matches the Rfam family "Bacterial small subunit ribosomal RNA", at positions 93 to 860 of the family's 1533-position model. The record is from RNAcentral.